This 69-nucleotide transfer RNA is filed under the name Camponotus ulcerosus. RNAcentral's name for it is "tRNA-Leu". Lineage: Eukaryota; Metazoa; Arthropoda; Insecta; Hymenoptera; Formicidae. The record is from RNAcentral.
UUAAUAUGGCAGAAUAGUGCUAUAGACUUAAACUCUAUCCAUAAAGAUACCAAAUCAUCUUUUAUUAAA